Molecule: ribosomal RNA, 294 nt
Filed under: Triticum aestivum (bread wheat)
Lineage: Eukaryota; Viridiplantae; Streptophyta; Magnoliopsida; Poales; Poaceae
Description: partial small subunit ribosomal RNA
Source: RNAcentral
AUUUGGGAUGCCAUUGGUCUACACCCUUGCUCUGCCCCCUUUGCACAUCUUUGGGUCUCCCAUGGGCACCCGGGUCUCCCUGAGUCAGUGUGGCCUCUCAUUCUUCUUCUUAUCAUUUGGAAAAUUUGGGACGCUCGUAAUGCUAAAACUUUUAGGGAUCUAGAUGUCUCACCCCAUGAUGUUACUAGGGGCAUCAUCGCGGAUCUCACAUUGUGGUCUCAUCGCCUUAAGAAGGUGGAGGACAAAGUUCACGCCGGCCUGUGGCGGGACUAUUUUACCUCUCGCCUUGUCUAA